RNAcentral lists this transfer RNA (68 nucleotides) under Marmota monax (woodchuck). RNAcentral's name for it is "tRNA.Ala". The stretch from base 5 to 65 matches the Rfam family "tRNA", at positions 6 to 65 of the family's 71-position model. From Rfam's summary of the family: Transfer RNA (tRNA) molecules are approximately 80 nucleotides in length. Their secondary structure includes four short double-helical elements and three loops (D, anti-codon, and T loops). Lineage: Eukaryota; Metazoa; Chordata; Mammalia; Rodentia; Sciuridae. The record is from RNAcentral.
GGAUUGUGGCUCAGUGGCAGAGUGCAUGCCUUGCAUGUGUGAGGCACUGGGUUCAAUCCUCAGCACCA